This 1373-nucleotide ribosomal RNA is filed under the name uncultured bacterium. Its description in RNAcentral is "bacterial SSU rRNA". It matches the Rfam family "Bacterial small subunit ribosomal RNA", at positions 28 to 1381 of the family's 1533-position model. The record is from RNAcentral.
GAUGAACGCUGGCGGCGUGCCUAAUACAUGCAAGUCGAGCGAACGGACGAGAAGCUUGCUUCUCUGAUGUUAGCGGCGGACGGGUGAGUAACACGUGGAUAACCUACCUAUAAGACUGGGAUAACUUCGGGAAACCGGAGCUAAUACCGGAUAAUAUUUUGAACCGCAUGGUUCAAAAGUGAAAGACGGUCUUGCUGUCACUUAUAGAUGGAUCCGCGCUGCAUUAGCUAGUUGGUAAGGUAACGGCUUACCAAGGCAACGAUGCAUAGCCGACCUGAGAGGGUGAUCGGCCACACUGGAACUGAGACACGGUCCAGACUCCUACGGGAGGCAGCAGUAGGGAAUCUUCCGCAAUGGGCGAAAGCCUGACGGAGCAACGCCGCGUGAGUGAUGAAGGUCUUCGGAUCGUAAAACUCUGUUAUUAGGGAAGAACAUAUGUGUAAGUAACUGUGCACAUCUUGACGGUACCUAAUCAGAAAGCCACGGCUAACUACGUGCCAGCAGCCGCGGUAAUACGUAGGUGGCAAGCGUUAUCCGGAAUUAUUGGGCGUAAAGCGCGCGUAGGCCGUUUUUUAAGUCUGAUGUGAAAGCCCCCGGCCUCACCCGUGGAGGGUCAUUGGAAACUGGAAAACUUGAGUGCAGAAAAGGAAAGUGGAAUUCCUUGUGUAGCGGUGAAAUGCGCAGAGAUAUGGAGGAACACCCGUGGCGAAGGCGACUUUCUGGUCUGUAACUGACGCCGAUGUGCGAAAGCGUGGGGAUCAAACAGGAUUAGAUACCCUGGUAGUCCACGCCGUAAACGAUGAGUGCUAAGUGUUAGGGGGUUUCCGCCCCUUAGUGCUGCAGCUAACGCAUUAAGCACUCCGCCUGGGGAGUACGACCGCAAGGUUGAAACUCAAAGGAAUUGACGGGGACCCGCACAAGCGGUGGAGCAUGUGGUUUAAUUCGAAGCAACGCGAAGAACCUUACCAAAUCUUGACAUCCUUUGACAACUCUAGAGAUAGAGCCUUCCCCUUCGGGGGACAAAGUGACAGGUGGUGCAUGGUUGUCGUCAGCUCGUGUCGUGAGAUGUUGGGUUAAGUCCCGCAACGAGCGCAACCCUUAAGCUUAGUUGCCAUCAUUAAGUUGGGCACUCUAAGUUGACUGCCGGUGACAAACCGGAGGAAGGUGGGGAUGACGUCAAAUCAUCAUGCCCCUUAUGAUUUGGGCUACACACGUGCUACAAUGGACAAUACAAAGGGCAGCGAAACCGCGAGGUCAAGCAAAUCCCAUAAAGUUGUUCUCAGUUCGGAUUGUAGUCUGCAACUCGACUACAUGAAGCUGGAAUCGCUAGUAAUCGUAGAUCAGCAUGCUACGGUGAAUACGUUCCCGGGUCU